Molecule: long non-coding RNA, 4135 nt
Filed under: Gossypium barbadense (sea-island cotton)
Lineage: Eukaryota; Viridiplantae; Streptophyta; Magnoliopsida; Malvales; Malvaceae
Description: long non-coding RNA (GBAR_LNC020667)
Source: RNAcentral
GCAAAGCAAGGAUGGAAGCUAAUCACCAAUCCUACAAGCUUCCUUGUACAAGUAAUGAAAUCUAAAUACUACCCAUGAAGUGACUUUUUGAAUGCCGAACUAGGGGCUUACCCUUCGUUUACCUGGAGAAACAUAUGGAACGCUCGGAGUAUUUUGGAAUCAAGACUGGGUUGAAGAAUCAGAGAGAGUAGAUCAGUUAACAUAUGAAACAAUCCAUGGUUUCCUGAGGAAGGAAAAUUAAAAUUUCAGAAUAUUGAUUAUAGGUACACUUUAGUUGCAGACCUUAUAAAUCAUGAAUAUGUCACCUGAAAGGAGGAAACCUUGAGAGGGUUUUUCCCAGAAGAACAAGCUAGUGAGAUUGGAUCCAUUCCUUUGGGGAACGCUCUGCAACUAGAUAUAAGGUUUUGGUAAGGUGACAGGUUGAGAGAAUACACGGUAAAAAACGGUUACAAAAGGUGUGUCUUAGAAGAUUUAAAUAUGAUGGGAAAUGAAAUUUCAACAGACCAGGAUCUAACUAGAAGUUAUUUUACAAAAAUUUGGAGUCUAAAAAUUCUCAGCAAUGUUCGAAUUAAUCUAUGGGAAAAUGAGUUUGUAAGCUACAUCUUCCGAGACUACAUCCUCGCAAAACAAGUCCUCCAGCAAAUGACACUGACAUUGGUCCCCCGUUCAUGAAAAUCAAGAAUGGAAACAAUGGUUAGCGGAGGCCUUCAAUCUCAAUAAUGCAUAUAAAUGUUCAUGCUUAGCAGUGUCAUUAUAGGCAAUAUGGCAUAACAAGAAUAUAUAUUUCCAUGAAGGCAUCCGACAAAGAACAUGCGAGAUUGUGGCUUAUAUUAAAGCAUACUUAGCGGAUCUUGAUAAGCUAAAGGAAGCACUAAAAUGUCAACAUAACACAGUGAUUACCCAUUGGGAGCCCCCAUCAAAAAGUCAAGUUAAAGUUAAUUUUGAUUCUGCAUUUCUUCAAUAAAGCAACAAAGCAGUAUCGGGAAUUAUCAUCAGAAACUAUACAGGACUUGUAAUAGGUUUGUGUUCUUACCUGAUCCACAACGUUAGAUAUCUAACAAUUUGUUAGAAUUGUGUGACCCAAAUUCUAAGAGAUUGCUUGCAAGUCAAGUUAAACAAAAAUAUAUUUUCUUUCUAGAAGAUUUAGUAUUUAUUAGUAUAAUAUAUUUAGCAUUUAUUAGUAUAGUUUAUUUGACUUACUAAUUUAGCCUAUAAAUAGGCUCCUUUACAAUCUUAGAAUAAAAGAGACACCCAUUAGAUUAGAACUCAUAACACAUUCAGAGAAUUUUGUGUUUACGUUUGAGGGUUCUUUGUUUUUCGAGUUUUCGGGGUUUAGUUUUUAUCUCCAUCUUUUGUACUCUUCAUUCUUUUGCCAUUAUAGUAAAAUUAUCUUUGCCCGUGGUUUUUUAUCCUCUUUUGAGGGGUUUUUCCACGUUAAAUUUGUGUGUUCAUCUUCUCAAUUUCUUCUACUAUUUUUACUUGUUCGUUGCUUAUUCGGGACGAUCCUAACAAGUGGUAUCAGAGCUAGUUUAACUUUCAUAGAUCAGCCCGGUCAGAGAUGGCAGCAACAAGGUUUGAAAUUGAGAAGUUCGAUGGUGAGACAAAUUUCAAUCUGUGGCAAGUUCGGAUGAUGGCAAUUCUAGUUCAAAAUGGCUUGAAAAAGGUUGUUACAGGGAAAAAGCCUGAGAAUCUAAAUCAAACAGAAUGGGAAGAGCUUGAUGAAAACGCCUUGUCUGCAAUCCAGUUGUGCCUCGCGAAUACAGUAUUGCAGGAGGUAUUGAUGGAGAAGACCUCAUUCGCCUUGUGGAAAAGGUUAGAAACUCUUUAUGCGACUAAGUCUCUGGCUAACCGUUUAGUGUUGAAACAACGUCUAUUUACGUUUCGCAUGAACGAAUGUGAGCUUCUUAAAGAUCACAUCAGUCAAUUCAUUACUCUUUUAAAUGAUUUAAAGAACGUUGAGGUUCAUAUUGACGAUGAAGAUCAAGCUAUGCUAUUAUUGUGCUCUUUACCCUCUUCAUACAAGUCUUUCAGGGAGACCCUGAUUUAUGGCAGAGACAAACUCUCGUUCGAAGAUGUGAAGGGUCAUUUGUUGAGUAGAGACAAACUCGACAAUGAGUUUGAUUUGAAUAGCAAAGCAGAUAGACAAGCUUCCGUUUUGGUAGCAUCAAAGAAACGAGACAAAAGGUGUCGCUAUUGCAAAAAGUUAGGUCACGUCAAAGUAGAUUGUUAUAAACUGCGAAAUAAAAGAGCUGCUGAGAGUAACGAGGAAGAUGUAGCUGGUGCUAAUUUGGUCGAUGAAGGCAGUGAUGAUUUCUUGUUAGUGUCAAUGAGCGAUAACUCCAAGCUUACGUCUGAGUGGAUCCUAGAUUCAGGAUGUUCUUUCCACAUGUGUCCCAAUAGAGAAUGGUUCUCCACAUACAGUUCAGUUGAAGGUGGAGUUGUGCACAUGGGAAACGAUUCAUCUAGUAAAAUAAUCGGUAUUGGUACUGUUAAAAUUAGGAUACACAAUGGGACGAUUAGGACACUCUCAGAUGUCAAGUAUGUACCUGAUUUACGAAAGAAUCUCAUCUCCUUGAGUAUUUUAGACUUGAAAGGAUGCAGAAUCAACAUCGAGUCGAGCGACAUUAAAGUAUCUCGUGGAGCUCUCGUUUUGUUAAAAGGUAAAAGAACCGGCAGUCUUUAUAUUCUGGAAGGUUCUACAGUGACCGGUGAAAUCGGACGUCCCUCGUCCGUUACGGAGUCAAAGUCAACUCAUUUGAAGCGGAGGUAACUUGGUCAUAGGAGGGAAAAAGGUAUGACCGUUUCGUUGAAGAGAGGUUCUCUUUUGGAUGCAGGUUUUGAAAAGUUAGGGCACUGUAUUCGUGAAAAUCAGACCCGGGUUAGUUUUGAUAUGGCAGUGCACAAGUCGAAGGCUAGAAGUCUUCCAGCUUCUAAGCAUAGAUUCGACUCAGUUAAUUCCCUGCAUAGUUCAAGAUAGGCCCGUGGCGGGUUUUGGCAAAGAUGGCAUUGAAAGAAUUCGUGUCAAGGUGGAGAUUGUUAGAAUUGUGUGACCCAAAUUCUAAGAGAUUGCUUGCAAGUCAAGUUAAACAAAAAUAUAUUUUCUUUCUAGAAGAUUUAGUAUUUAUUAGUAUAAUAUAUUUAGCAUUUAUUAGUAUAGUUUAUUUGACUUACUAAUUUAGCCUAUAAAUAGGCUCCUUUACAAUCUUAGAAUAAAAGAGACACCCAUUAGAUUAGAACUCAUAACACAUUCAGAGAAUUUUGUGUUUACGUUUGAGGGUUCUUUGUUUUUUGGGUUUUCGGGGUUUAGUUUUUAUCUCCAUCUUUUGUACUCUUCAUUCUUUUGCCAUUAUAGUAAAAUUAUCUUUGCCCGUGGUUUUUUAUCCUCUUUUGAGGGGUUUUUCCACGUUAAAUUUGUGUGUUCAUCUUCUCAAUUUCUUCUACUAUUUUUACUUGUUCGUUGCUUAUUCGGGACGAUCCUAACACAAUUGCUGAAGCGUAUACAUGCCUUAAAGGAGUCGUUUUUGCUGAAGAAAUAGGAUUUAGCGAUGUUAUCAUGGAAGAGGACUCAAGGAUUGUCAUUAAAAAACUGCAAAACCAUGGAAAUGAUAGAUCAACCAUCAGGGGAGUUAUAAACAAAAUAAUAGCAAUGUCAAGAAUUUUCUGGAAUAUUGAGUUCCGGUUCAUACCACGAGAAGCCAACGGAACGGCGUAUGCGAUGGCUGCAAGGGGCAGAGGAAGUAAUUUUUUGACUUUCUAGGUAGAAGAAACUCCAUUAGAGGUUGAACCUAUCAUAGCUAGAUACCAAAGAAGAACUGACUAAUAAAAAAAUAUAUGGAUGUUUGAUGGGCUAACUUCGAAAAAGGAAAAGGGUUAACAAAGCUCAGAGGAACUCAGAAGAUGAUGGACCGGGGGAAUGAAGUCAAGACGAGAACAAAGGAUUUGCUUUAACAGGUCUACCGUUGAAAUGAAUUUUGGCGACGCGACAAAAGGAGAGAAGAACGAGGGAAGGUUAAGUCUUUAGGGCUUUCUUGUUGUGUGUUUUUUUUUAGAAAGUUUGCGUUUUCUUCACCCACAAAAGAGCAAGGGACUGGUUUUAUCUUAGGAAAUGAAAAAUCGAGGCUUCGCCCACACUUUC